Molecule: non-coding RNA, 115 nt
Organism: Rhypophila decipiens
Lineage: Eukaryota; Fungi; Ascomycota; Sordariomycetes; Sordariales; Naviculisporaceae
Source: the annotation of a GenBank genome assembly
GCCCGCAUGGCUCAGGGGUAGAGCGCAUCACUAGUAAACAUACUUCCUUCUCCGAGAUAGAGUUUUACAGCUAGGUUCAAUGAUGAGGUCAUCAGUUCGAUUCUGAUUGUGGGCA